Molecule: ribosomal RNA, 512 nt
Filed under: Deroplatys rhombica
Lineage: Eukaryota; Metazoa; Arthropoda; Insecta; Mantodea; Mantidae
Description: partial 16S ribosomal RNA
Rfam family: Bacterial large subunit ribosomal RNA (bases 386-512)
Source: RNAcentral
GGUUUUUUGAAUAAGAUAAGAAAUUUAACCUGCCCACUGAAUUUGUUUUAAAGGGCCGCAGUAUAUUGACUGUGCAAAGGUAGCAUAAUAAUUAGUCUUUUAAUUGAGGGCUGGUAUGAAUGGUUGGAUGAAGUAAGAACUGUUUUAUAUAAAUUAAAUUGAAUUUAGAUUUUAAGUAAAAAUACUUAAGUUAAGUUAAGGGACGAGAAGACCCUAUAGAGUUUAAUAUAUAAAAUAAUAAAUUAAGUUAAAAAUAAGUUUUUAAUUAUUAUAAAACAUAUUUAAUUGGGGAGAUUAAAAGAUAAAAUAAACUUUUUUUUAAGUUAAAUUUAUUAAGAAAUUAUGUGAUCCAUUAUUAGUGAUUAAAAGAUUAAAUUACCUUAGGGAUAACAGCAUAAUUCUUUUUGAAAGUUCAUAUUGAAAAUAGAGUUUGUGACCUCGAUGUUGGAUUAAGAAGGGUAUUUAAUGUAGAUGUUAAGUUACUAAGUCUGUUCGACUUUUAAAAUCUUACA